Molecule: long non-coding RNA, 347 nt
Filed under: Ananas comosus (pineapple)
Lineage: Eukaryota; Viridiplantae; Streptophyta; Magnoliopsida; Poales; Bromeliaceae
Description: long non-coding RNA (ACOM_LNC008080)
Source: RNAcentral
CACAUUACAGGUCUUCUAUACCGUCACGCUUUACUUUUCAGAAGGUCAUUCAUUCUACCAUUAUGUUACUUAACUUCCGUAAUUUUUUGAAUAUAAUCAUUAUCCAAAAUAGUACAGUCGGAUUAAGAGUUUUAGUUUUACUAUACUUUAUAUAUAGAAUUAUCUGAGAAUAUCUCACAUUCUCCUUAAGACGUCGAGAUAAUUUUAGUUCAAUGUUGAUAGGCAAAUGGUUUGCAAAUGUUAUGAAUUAUUGGAGUGAUCAAACAGUUUGAUUGGAUGGGAUGGAGAAUUAAAGGGGAAUAUAUAUUGAUCUAAUGGAAGAGAGAAAUAUAGGGCAUCUUUUAUUU